RNAcentral lists this ribosomal RNA (298 nucleotides) under uncultured bacterium. RNAcentral describes it as "partial 16S ribosomal RNA". It matches the Rfam family "Bacterial small subunit ribosomal RNA", at positions 207 to 507 of the family's 1533-position model. The record is from RNAcentral.
CCUACGGGGGCGCUUGGGGAUGAGCUCGCGCCCUAUUAGCUAGUUGGUGGGGUAAUGGCCUACCAAGGUAAUGAUGGGUAGCCGGCCUGAGAGGGUGUACGGCCACACUGGAACUGCGACACGGUCCAGACUCCUACGGGAGGCAGCAGUGGGGAAGUUUUGCGCAAUGGGCGAAAGCCUGACGCAGCGACGCCGCGUGGAGGAUGACGGCCUUCGGGUUGUAAACUCCUGUCAGAGGUGAAGAAUGCCCUUCGGGGGUUUGACGGUAACCUCAGAGGAAGCCCCGGCUAACUACGUG